RNAcentral lists this ribosomal RNA (377 nucleotides) under uncultured eukaryote. RNAcentral's name for it is "partial 18S ribosomal RNA". It matches the Rfam family "Eukaryotic small subunit ribosomal RNA", at positions 592 to 976 of the family's 1831-position model. The record is from RNAcentral.
CAAUAGCGUAUAUUAAUGUUGUUGCAGUUAAAAAGCUCGUAGUUGGAUUUCUGAUGGGAGCCCUGGUCAUUUUAACGAGUGUACUGAUGUGGCGUCCUGUCGUUUCAUGGGGAUGCUUGCUGGUAUUAAGUUAUCGGCUUGUGGAUCCAUGUCGUUUACUGUGAAAAAAUUAGAGUGUUCAAAGCAGGCCAUCGCUGUGAAUACAUUAGCAUGGAAUAAUAAGAUAGGACUGUGGUGCUAUUUUGUUGGUUUGCGUACUACGGUAAUGAUUAAUAGGGAUAGUUGGGGGUAUUCAUAUUCAAUUGUCAGAGGUGAAAUUCUUGGAUUUAUGGAAGAUGAACUACUGCGAAAGCAUUUACCAAGGAUGUUUUCAUUAA